RNAcentral lists this ribosomal RNA (467 nucleotides) under uncultured Pelotomaculum sp. RNAcentral's name for it is "bacterial SSU rRNA". It matches the Rfam family "Bacterial small subunit ribosomal RNA", at positions 921 to 1377 of the family's 1533-position model. The record is from RNAcentral. Lineage: Bacteria; Bacillati; Bacillota; Clostridia; Eubacteriales; Desulfotomaculaceae.
CGGGCCGCACAAGCGGUGGAGCAUGUGGUUUAAUUCGACGCAACGCGAAGAACCUUACCAGGGCUUGACAUCCCCUGACCGCGUAUGAAAGUACGUUUUCACCCUCGGGUGACAGGAGACAGGUGGUGCAUGGUUGUCGUCAGCUCGUGUCGUGAGAUGUUGGGUUAAGUCCCGCAACGAGCGCAACCCCUACGUUUAGUUGCUAACGCGUGAAGGCGAGCACUCUAGACGAACUGCCGUUGACAAAACGGAGGAAGGUGGGGAUGACGUCAAAUCAUCAUGGCCUUUAUAUCCUGGGCUACACACACGCUACAAUGGGCAGUACAAUAGGUUGCGAAGCCGCGAGGCGAAGCCAAUCCCUAAAGCUGUCCUCAGUUCAGAUUGCAGGCUGCAACCCGCCUGCAUGAAGAUGGAGUUGCUAGUAACCGCAGGUCAGCUAUACUGCGGUGAAUACGUUCCCGGGGUUU